This 114-nucleotide small nucleolar RNA is filed under the name Jaculus jaculus (lesser Egyptian jerboa). Its description in RNAcentral is "Small nucleolar RNA SNORA33 (ENSJJAG00000006454.1)". The record is from RNAcentral. Lineage: Eukaryota; Metazoa; Chordata; Mammalia; Rodentia; Dipodidae.
AGGUCAGCCUGGAAUAGAGUUCUACUGCAAAAAGAAAAUGCUGUUAAUAGUGCUGCCAUUUUAUGCCCUUAAGGACAACUGAGGUCAUUAAGGAUCCUGAAAAUGGCUAUAAUA